This 252-nucleotide ribosomal RNA is filed under the name uncultured bacterium. RNAcentral describes it as "partial 16S ribosomal RNA". It matches the Rfam family "Bacterial small subunit ribosomal RNA", at positions 524 to 776 of the family's 1533-position model. The record is from RNAcentral.
UACGUAGGGUGCGAGCGUUGCCCGGAUUUAUUGGGCGUAAGGGCGCGUAGGCGGCCACGCACGUCCGUUGUGAAAUCGCCCGGCUCAACUGGGCGGGGUCGGCGGAUACGGCGUGGCUGGAGCAAGCUAGGGGGCAAUGGAAUUCCGGGUGGAGCGGUGAAAUGCGUAGAGAUCCGGAGGAACACCGACGGCGCAGGCAGCGUCCUGGCCGCUUGCUGACACUGAGGCACGAAAGCUGGGGGAGCAAACAGG